AAAAAAUUUAAAAAAUAAUAAUAAUAAUAUUGUGAAGAAGAAGGAGGAGGCCCAAGAUUGUCAGUCUAAAGCUCUGUUUUAGGUUUAUCCUAAAUGCCAUCUCAUUUGUUCCUUUGCCCUGGAGAUCUCUCUCUCUCAGUUUUUGGUGUUUAAGACAACUUUAUGUAUGAUCUGCCCAUUGCUACCUUCCUAUUUUCUCUUACCCAAUUUCAAACAUCUAGCCCCAUAGACUAAAAGUUGGAUUUUAGAGAUGUGUAAAUAGAAUAUGAGUACAUCUUCUUCAGCUGCAACCAUUUGCCCUGUUAUUCUGACUCUAUACAAAGGAUCAAGAUGUGCCUUACAGGAUUGUGACACUCGAUUUUAUUAAAACCUUCAAAAUUUUAGGGAAAUCUAUUUUAGCUUGAGGUAUGCAGAGGUCUGGGCCAGUGCUAGUCUCCUUUCUAGUCUUGAGCCAACUUUCAUAGUAUUUUUAGAUAAUGUUUCAUGGUAGUUGUGCAGGUUGUGCUACCUCCUUAUUACAUUGUCAACCAAGUUUUCAUCUCCAUUGUUUUCAUUUUUAAACAAUAAUCCCAGAUGGCAAAAAUUUAAGAUGUUACUUGAAGGAAUUUCUGGAUCCCUACUCUAAACCCAAUCUUGAAGAUACCACAGAAAGGAGAAGGAAAAUGAUGGAUCUAAAAAAAAUAUUGAAAAAAUGGAAGAGUUCCUGGAGUGAGUUCCAGCUGAAGUAAGAGCCUAGGAAGGAAGGAAGACAUUGGAGAGUUCAUAUGCUAUUUUAGCUGGCUCUGUGAUUGCAAUCACACAAAUCACUACAUUCCAGAGAGAUCCCAUGAACAGAAGGUUUUUCCAUUUUCAGUCUUUCAAGGUUAUGGAACAAUUUUUCCUAGAGCUGCUGGUGGACAGAUAUUCUGUGUUGUCUUUGCUGCAAUUGGAAUCCCUCUAAGUAUCAUAUGCUUUAAAUGUAUUGAUAAAUUAAUUUCUCUACCAUUUGAAAACCUUGGAAACUACCUUAUAUGUAAGAGAAUAAAUGAGGAAAGUUUUCUCUUUCUCCACACAAUCACACACACACACACACACACACACACACACGGUAGAGAAGUUUUGUUUUUAAAAUAUAUGUAUGAUGUAGAUUCACAACCUUAGAUUGACCAAGCACAUGACACUUUAUAUUUAUUGGAUUCAUGCUGAAUGAAAUUUGUAGGAGUAGAAAAAGCAUGUCAAUUUGUGUUGUGAAACAAGAGAGAAAAUCAGCAUUCAAGAAACCAUCUAUUUCCCCUUAGUGAUUUUCCUCUGAUCAUUUAACUUAUAAAAUGAGUGGUGGUGAGGGGCACCUAGAUGGCUCAGUUGGUUGAGCUUCUGACUCUUGAUUUCAGCUCAGGUCAUGAAUUCAGAGUAUUGAGAUCAAGC
This 1404-nucleotide long non-coding RNA is filed under the name Vulpes vulpes (red fox). RNAcentral's name for it is "lncRNA (ENSVVUG00000029525.1)". Lineage: Eukaryota; Metazoa; Chordata; Mammalia; Carnivora; Canidae. The record is from RNAcentral.